RNAcentral lists this transfer RNA (122 nucleotides) under Candidatus Nitrosocaldaceae archaeon. RNAcentral describes it as "tRNA-iMet". Lineage: Archaea; Thermoproteati; Nitrososphaerota; Nitrososphaeria; Candidatus Nitrosocaldales; Candidatus Nitrosocaldaceae. The record is from RNAcentral.
AGCGAGGUUUAAACCCUAUAAGGGUGGGGAAGCCAGGUAUCCCGGCGGGCUCAUAACUUUUAAGGUAAGAUACCCGCAGAUCGGUGGUUCGAAAGGUAAAACCGAAAGUCCACCCCCCGCUA